GAUGAACGCUGGCGGCGUGCCUAAUACAUGCAAGUCGAACGGAAAUUUAACGCUGAGGCGAGCUUGCUCAAUUCUUGUUAAAUUUUAGUGGCGGACGGGUGAGUAACGCGUGGGUAACCUGCCUUACACUGGGGGACAACAGUUGGAAACGACUGCUAAUACCGCAUAAGCGCACAGAAUCGCAUGAUUCAGUGUGAAAAACUCCGGUGGUGUAAGAUGGACCCGCGUCUGAUUAGCUAGUUGGUGAGGUAACGGCCCACCAAGGCGACGAUCAGUAGCCGGCCUGAGAGGGUGAACGGCCACAUUGGGACUGAGACACGGCCCAAACUCC
RNAcentral lists this ribosomal RNA (331 nucleotides) under uncultured Lachnospiraceae bacterium. RNAcentral describes it as "bacterial SSU rRNA". It matches the Rfam family "Bacterial small subunit ribosomal RNA", at positions 28 to 339 of the family's 1533-position model. The record is from RNAcentral. Lineage: Bacteria; Bacillati; Bacillota; Clostridia; Lachnospirales; Lachnospiraceae.